GAUAAACGCUGGCGGCGUGCUUUAUGCAUGCAAGUCGAACGGUUCCGAUUUAUCGGGAUAGUAGCAAACGGGUGAGUAAUGCGUGAGUAACCUACCCCUAAGUAGGGGAUAACUCUGAGAAAUUGGAGCUAAUACCGUAUGUGGUAGUGGAGGUAAGGCUUCACCACUUAAAGCCUUAGGGCGCUUAGGGAGGGGCUUGUGUCCGAUUAGCUAGUUGGUAGGGUAACGGUUUACCAAGGCGAUGAUCGGUAGCCGGUCUGAGAGGACGAUCAGCCACACUGGGACUGAGAUACGGCCCAGACUCCUAUGGGAGGCAGCAGCAAGGAAUUUUGUGCAAUGGGCGAAAGCCUGACACAGCGACGCCGCGUGGGGGAUGAAGGCCUUCGGGUUGUAAACCUCUUUUCUCAGGGAAGAAUAAUGACGGUACCUGAGGAAUAAGUCUCGGCUAACUACGUGCCAGCAGCCGCGGUAAUACGUAGGAGGCGAGCGUUAUCCGGAUUUACUGGGCGUAAAGAGGGCGUAGGCGGCUUUUCAAGUCGGGUGUAAAAUCUCCCCGCUUAAUGGGGAGGGGUCAUUCGAUACUGUUAAGCUAGAGGGCAGCAGAGGGAGGUGGAAUUCCCGGUGGAGUGGUGAAAUGCGUAGAUAUCGGGAGGAACACCAGUGGCGAAGGCGGCCUCCUGGGCUGUUUCUGACGUUGAGGCCCGAAAGCGUGGGGAGCGAACAGGAUUAGAUACCCUGGUAGUCCACGCUGUCAACGAUGGAUACUAGGUAUAGGGAGUAUCGACCCUCUCUGUGCCGAAGCUAACGCGUUAAGUAUCCCGCCUGGGGACUACGGCCGCAAGGCUAAAACUCAAAGGAAUUGACGGGGGCCC
This 872-nucleotide ribosomal RNA is filed under the name uncultured bacterium. Its description in RNAcentral is "bacterial SSU rRNA". It matches the Rfam family "Bacterial small subunit ribosomal RNA", at positions 28 to 922 of the family's 1533-position model. The record is from RNAcentral.